This 450-nucleotide ribosomal RNA is filed under the name uncultured bacterium. RNAcentral's name for it is "bacterial SSU rRNA". It matches the Rfam family "Bacterial small subunit ribosomal RNA", at positions 355 to 796 of the family's 1533-position model. The record is from RNAcentral.
UGGGGAAUAUUGCGCAAUGGGGGAAACCCUGACGCAGCAACGCCGCGUGAGUGAUGAAGGUCUUCGGAUCGUAAAGCUCUGUCGGCAGGAAAGAUGGACAGGUCAGCUAACAUCUGAUCGGUCUGACGGUACCUGCAAAGGAAGCACCGGCUAACUCUGUGCCAGCAGCCGCGGUAAUACAGAGGGUGCAAGCGUUGUUCGGAAUCAUUGGGCGUAAAGGGCGCGUAGGCGGUCCCACAAGUCGAAUGUGAAAGCCCAGGGCUCAACCUUGGAAGUGCAUUCGAAACUAGGGGACUCGAGUCUCGGAGAGGGUGGUGGAAUUCCCAGUGUAGAGGUGAAAUUCGUAGAUAUUGGGAGGAACACCGGUGGCGAAGGCGACCACCUGGACGAAGACUGACGCUGAGGCGCGAAAGCGUGGGGAGCAAACAGGAUUAGAUACCCCGGUAGUCC